UACGAAGGGGGCUAGCGUUGCUCGGAAUCACUGGGCGUAAAGGGUGCGUAGGCGGGUCUUUAAGUCAGGGGUGAAAUCCUGGAGCUCAACUCCAGAACUGCCUUUGAUACUGAAGAUCUUGAGUUCGGGAGAGGUGAGUGGAACUGCGAGUGUAGAGGUGAAAUUCGUAGAUAUUCGCAAGAACACCAGUGGCGAAGGCGGCGACCUGGGCCAAUACUGACGCUGAGGUGCGAAAGCGUGGGGAGCAAACAGG
Molecule: ribosomal RNA, 253 nt
Filed under: uncultured bacterium
Lineage: Bacteria
Description: partial 16S ribosomal RNA
Rfam family: Bacterial small subunit ribosomal RNA
Source: RNAcentral